AUCUCUCGCGGUCACUCGCUCGAUCUCCUCACUCGGCGCAGAUCGUUCUCUCGCAGUCGCUCGAUUCGAUCUCUCGCAGUCGCUUUGCUCGAUCUCUCGCAGUCACUCGCUCGCUCUCCUCACUCGGCGCAGAUCGUUCUCUCGCAGUUACUCGGAUCGAUCUAUCUCGAAGUUAUUCGGCGUUGAUCGAUCUCUCGCAGUCGCUCAGACCGAUCUCUCACGGUCACUCGACUCGCUCUCUCGCAGUCACUCGGCGCAGAUCGAUCUCUCGCAGUCGCUCAGAUUUCUCUCUCGCGGUCACUCGACUCGCACUCUCGCAAUCACUCGGCGCAGAUCAUUCUCGCGCAGUCACUUGGCUCGAUCUCUCGCGGUCACUCGAUUGCUCUCCUCACUCGGCGCAGAUCGUUCUCUCGUGACUCGACCGUUCUGUCGUCACUCGACCGUUUUGUCAUCACUCGACCGUUCUGUCAUCACUCGAUCGUUUUUUCGUCACUCGGCCUUUCUGUCAUCACUCGGCGCAGAUCGUUCUCUCGCGGUCGCUCGACUCGAUCUCUCGCGGUCACUCGGUGCAGAUCGUUCUCGCGCAGUCGCUUGGCUCGAUCUCUCGCGGUCACUCGCUCGAUCUCCUCACUCGGCGCAGAUCGUUCUCUCGC
RNAcentral lists this long non-coding RNA (653 nucleotides) under Brassica napus (rape). Its description in RNAcentral is "long non-coding RNA (BNAP_LNC017439)". Lineage: Eukaryota; Viridiplantae; Streptophyta; Magnoliopsida; Brassicales; Brassicaceae. The record is from RNAcentral.